CAUAUCACUGUUUGCUCAACGUUUAUGAUAACUGAGAGAUACCUCUUUGACUAUAAAGCAAUGAAAACUUAAAGUUAUUAUCUACUUCCAGAGGACUGGGGAGCUUAUUUACUGAAUCAUACAGCAAUGUAUCGUUCAGAUAAGUUAGCAUUUGGUCUGGAAAAUUGUGAAAUACGAUAUUUCAACACUUCUCCUCUCCUGCCAAGGGAGCUUCGGAAUCACAGAAGACAGUUUAUUUUGAACAUAUGGAAAAGAUGAGGAAUGUCCUCCCAGAGAUAACCAUCUCUAACCUGCAGUUGACAGGAUCUUCAGACCUUCUCCAGCUAUUAGACGUUACUUUUGUACAUUAGGACAGCGGGAGUCACGUGAGGAGCAACCAUACCUUUAACACCCAUUUCUCUGGCUCAUGAGGACACAGUGCAUCACCAACCAGUGAGCAAGACAGAUCUGAGGAGAUUUUCCAAGUACUUGAUGGCAGCCUUAAGUUAAAUUAAUGCAUCUGAAGGAAGCAAAAGUGUCUCAUUACAAAAUACAAACUCCAAACACUGUAGGAGUAGAAGCAUUUAACAUGAAGAGAUGAGUUUGCAGUGCAGGGAUGGUCACACCCAGGCAAGGGAGAAGAAGGAAGCAAAUCACAGCAAAUCACAGAAUCUAAUGCAGUCUGCGCCAAGGGCAGUCAUCAAGGUUGAUUGUGGGUUUAUUGUUGCCAGCCAGACUCCCUGCUCCAGCAGGUGCCAGGCACCCUGAAUUACUCCCAUUGCACAUCGCUCCAUGGGGCAGUGAGUAAGCUGAUGAAUUCUGCUUGUUUCAUCUGGGAGGCAACUGCCUCCCUUUCUCCACAAGGAACAUCCCACAUAUAAUAAAGGUUUAUAGUCAACCAGAGCAAGACUUCAAACUCAUUCCUUCCAGAUUCAUUCAUGACGAGGGUGGGGAUGCUAGACUGCUCUGCAAUGUUUAACUCAACAAAUACUAAAAUCUCCAGAGCAAUGGCCCUUUAUCACUCCUGGUUGCUGCAGAUACAGAAUCAAAGGGCUAGCAAGCAUGUCCUGUCAGCAUAUGGUUACCCAAACUGAAACUGGAUGCAAGGUAUUUAAUAAAACACAGCUAGGAAAUAAAUGCUAUGUAUGCUAAAAAAAUCAUUACCUUGGUCAACAAACAAACCUUGGAGACUAGAGCGCAGGCCUAUCACAAAUAUUCCAAGUAUUGCUCUGUGAUGUACAGAGAGAAUUACAGCCUAAAAGACAUAGGGAGUUCUUGUCAUGAGCAGAGUGCUGAGUUUUUAGGGUUACACCUAAAGAAAAAUGGGGAGCAACUCUGGAGAGUGUGGGAACAAGAGCGGCCAGAGGUCCUGAAAACAUGAUUAGCAAAGGAAAGCUGCAUGAAUCGAGGGGAUAAAAAAAGAAGACAGGGCAGGAGAGAAGAAAUGUCAAUAAUCUUCAAAUACAUACACAUAAAGAAGCUGCAAAGAGGAAGGGACAGCUGUACUAGCAAUGUCCAGAAAAGACAGAAGUAAUGGGCUCAAACUGCCGCCAAGAAGAUUUAAAACAGACAAGGGUUAGGACAGUGACAGCAAGAGUAGACUGCUGUGAGAGUCUUUAGGGUCUCAGUCAUUAGAGAUCUCUCAAGCAUCUGUCAGCAACAGAGUACUCAUAGUCCAUCCUAAUCUCACAACUCUGCAAAACAGAAAUGAUGUACCAUCAGCCAAGAUUUCAGGUAACAACCUUAGUUUUUAUUCAAAAUGAAAUAUCAUGCAGUAUAG
Molecule: long non-coding RNA, 1759 nt
Organism: Gallus gallus (chicken)
Lineage: Eukaryota; Metazoa; Chordata; Aves; Galliformes; Phasianidae
Source: Ensembl